UACGGAGGGUGCGAGCGUUAAUCGGAAUUACUGGGCGUAAAGCGCGCGUAGGUGGCUUGAUAAGUCGGAUGUGAAAGCCCCGGGCUCAACCUGGGAACUGCAUUCGAUACUGUCUGGCUAGAGUGUGAUAGAGGAAAGCGGAAUUCCCGGUGUAGCGGUUAAAUGCGUAGAUAUCGGGAGGAACAUCAGUGGCGAAGGCGGCUUUCUUGAUUAGCACUGACGCUGAGGCGCGAAAGCGUGGGUAGCAAACAGG
Molecule: ribosomal RNA, 253 nt
Filed under: uncultured bacterium
Lineage: Bacteria
Description: partial 16S ribosomal RNA
Rfam family: Bacterial small subunit ribosomal RNA
Source: RNAcentral